Molecule: ribosomal RNA, 502 nt
Filed under: uncultured bacterium
Lineage: Bacteria
Description: partial 16S ribosomal RNA
Rfam family: Bacterial small subunit ribosomal RNA
Source: RNAcentral
ACUCAAAGGAAUAGACGGGGGCCCGCACAAGCGGUGGAGUAUGUGGCUUAAUUCGAUGCAACGCGAAGAACCUUACCUGGGCUUGACAUGCAGUGUGUCGGCGGCGAAAGCCGCCUAGUGGAGCAAUCCACACGCUGCACAGGUGCUGCAUGGCUGUCGUCAGCUCGUGUCGUGAGAUGUUGGGUUAAGUCCCGCAACGAGCGCAACCCUUAUGACUUGUUGCAUGGCCUAACGGCCGCGCUCUCUAGUCAGACUGCCCUGUGAAACGGGGAGGAAGGUGGGGAUGACGUCAAGUCAGCAUGGCCCUUACGCCCAGGGCUGCACACGUACUACAAUGUCCAGUACAAAACGCCCCAAAACCGCAAGGUGGAGGAAAUCGCAAAAACUGGGCUCAAUUCGGAUUGCAGGCUGCAACUCGCCUGCAUGAAGCCGGAAUCGCUAGUAAUGGCGCAUCAGAUACGGCGCCGUGAAUACGUUCCCGGGCCUUGUACACACCGCCCGU